Long non-coding RNA from Ailuropoda melanoleuca (giant panda), 746 nucleotides. RefSeq lists it as uncharacterized. The transcript is spliced from 4 exons. NCBI's taxonomy places the organism in Eukaryota, Metazoa, Chordata, Mammalia, Carnivora, Ursidae. The record is from RefSeq and is a predicted model, not a curated record.
UUGAACUUACAACCCCGAGAUCGAGAGUUGCAUGCUUUGCCAACUGCUAGCCAGGGGCAGGACUCUGUGUCCUCCGUUCUUAAGAACACCUGGAAGUUCCCACCUCCACCUGAACACGUGUAGGUUCUUUCACCCUGGUUCCUUAUUUAUCCAUGGUGAGAUCAGUCGCUCAUAACAAAUCUGGAAAAUUUCAUCUGUAUCACUAAAAGAGAGAGAAUAAUGAAAUGAACCUUCCUGUGCCCAUCACCCAGCUUCAGCAAUGAGCAAACACAUGGCCAGUCUGGUUUCAACUUUACCCCUGAAUGGGUUAUUUUAAAGCAGAUGCCAGACAUCAUACCGUUUCAUCCGUAAGUACUUGUUGGUCUUUCCAAGGGAACCCUCCAUGUGGAAAUCAACUUCACGAACAUCUAUUUCUCCACCACCCUGACCUGACUGUGCAAUUUUCCUGAGUGUUUACUCUGUACCAGGCACUGUGCUAUGCCCUUAACAUGAAUCAUCUCACACGAUUUCACAAGGAUCUUGUGACAAAGAAGCAUGAGAUUUACGGAGGUCUCCCCUCCCUCUUUCCCCCCACCGCACACAUUUUAAUUAAGGUGUCUUUUGAGAAGGAAGACUUUAAUCCAAAGUGAUCACUUUGAUACUCGAAGAGACACAUUUGGAGGCUACUUGGCGAGGAGGAAUUAAAGACGGAGAAGCUGAAUAAAUAGCAAGCAAAAUGUUAAUGUUUUGGCUUUGUGGUGUCUGCA